Molecule: ribosomal RNA, 497 nt
Filed under: uncultured bacterium
Lineage: Bacteria
Description: partial 16S ribosomal RNA
Rfam family: Bacterial small subunit ribosomal RNA
Source: RNAcentral
GAUGAACGCUGGCGGCGUGCCUAAUACAUGCAAGUCGAGCGAACAGAUGAGGAGCUUGCUCCUCUGACGUUAGCGGCGGACGGGUGAGUAACACGUGGAUAACCUACCUAUAAGACUGGGAUAACUUCGGGAAACCGGAGCUAAUACCGGAUAAUAUAGUGAACCGCAUGGUUCAAUAGUGAAAGACGGUUUUGCUGUCACUUAUAGAUGGAUCCGCGCCGCAUUAGCUAGUUGGUAAGGUAACGGCUUACCAAGGCGACGAUGCGUAGCCGACCUGAGAGGGUGAUCGGCCACACUGGAACUGAGACACGGUCCAGACUCCUACGGGAGGCAGCAGUAGGGAAUCUUCCGCAAUGGGCGAAAGCCUGACGGAGCAACGCCGCGUGAGUGAUGAAGGUCUUCGGAUCGUAAAACUCUGUUAUUAGGGAAGAACAAAUGUGUAAGUAACUAUGCACGUCUUGACGGUACCUAAUCAGAAAGCCACGGCUAACUACGUG